Molecule: long non-coding RNA, 227 nt
Filed under: Olea europaea (common olive)
Lineage: Eukaryota; Viridiplantae; Streptophyta; Magnoliopsida; Lamiales; Oleaceae
Description: long non-coding RNA (OEUR_LNC006590)
Source: RNAcentral
GGCCACCCCCAAUUUUGAGGCAGACAACUAUUCCCACGGGGGUGGCCCUCCCAGAGAGAAGCCCCGCUGUGGCAGAGCCUGUCGCUGCCCCGGACACAGCGCCCCUUGCGGCCGUACCCAUUGAACAAGUUCCGGGGCAAUAGAGGAGGAAAAGGGCCCGCCCCAGCAAAGAGGUUGAUUUCCUUGGCACCAAUCCAGAAGAGCCCGUAAGGGAGGUGCUGGAGGCU